This is a long non-coding RNA of Culex pipiens pallens (northern house mosquito), 1814 nucleotides long. RefSeq lists it as uncharacterized. The transcript has 3 exons. NCBI's taxonomy places the organism in Eukaryota, Metazoa, Arthropoda, Insecta, Diptera, Culicidae. The record is from RefSeq and is a predicted model, not a curated record.
GGGUAUUCCCUCGCCAGCACAACUCUGUCAACACAAACAGCUGAUUUUUCGCUGUCGUGACGCAGUAAACGGGGUGUUUUUGUUUUGAAAUGUUUUGUGAAAAUUUCUGGGACUUUGGAGCACUGCAGCUGCUGAAGAAAAGUUUGAAAGUGGUGAAAGUUUAAAAAAUAGUUUCAACUUUGCAUCACAAAAAGCAUCGGUUACCGCUCAGAGUUUUCUGCAAAAGGAAACUACUUCGACCCUUGACCAGGUUCUCGGACUGGUUCCGGCUCGAUAUUUGGAUCUGGCAAAUCGAUGCGACCAGCAACUGCUACUGCGGUGGGAAAGACGAGUGCAGGUAGAAGAAAAAUCGAGGCCAGACAGCAGGCUGGACUGCCGCCGAACGGAUCAAGACGGCGCCGCCGCGAGAAUUGUCAAAACAAAGCCGCAGUCAAAAUACACCAAUCAAAACAUCAUGCGCGGAGUCAUUUUUCAAAUGUUUUUUUGGAUUAGAGGAAGUUAAAAGCCGUUUAUUCGUGCUGCUGUUGUUACUGGGUGCACUUUUGACGACCUAGGAAUCACCGUUAAGAACGUCGGGCAGGACAGUGUUCCUCCGUUUCUCAGAAAAUUCUACAAGCCGAUCAGGACGACCAAAUACAAGGAGUAGAUCUUGCGCAGCCUGCAUCACCGGAGCAAUUCUGGUGUCGGUAGCAUUACAUGACUUACGGUGGCCGCAAAUGCAACGGUGUCCAGGUACUAGGGAGAAGCAGAAGCUCGUUCCGCUGAACCCGCCGGCCUGCUUCUGCGUGAACUGUGAGCUGUCGUGUCCGUGGCCACCGCCCUUUGUAAUACACGGGUACGUCGGGUACGCCGUGGUCAUGGUUGUGAGCAGUGUGUUUGGUUCGUGAUAGGUGCGUGUUUGAGCCAGUCCGGCGGAAAUGGUGCCGGACCAACUUCAAGAUGAACAAGGGUUCCUCUUUCGCCUUGCUACAAAGCCGCAGGAUGCAACAGUUAACGGAGCGACAAAUAAGCGCCAGGUGUGUGAUCAAUAUCACACCGACUGUGGAGGAUUGCUACCAAGCUUGGUGUCCAUGGCUAGCCGAGAGACCUCUUGAGUCGCAGGGAGAACCAGUAUCACCUUUUAAUUUGUUGAUUCUUUUACUAACGGUUUUUUCAUUGCAGAUUCAAAUAACUUUCAAAAGUAAGGCUCGCGCCCUGCUCUGAUUUUAUGCUUAUUAUAUUCGCUUUCUAUACCCAAUGUGUCCUGCACUGGGGGUACCUGGGGUAACUGCGAGUUGACCUGGGCUGUCCGAGGAAUUAUGCCGUAGGUGGUUCGUGUACUGGUCCACUUACCUCUCUUCGUGGCAAGGGCUUCCUCGAUCAUGCGACAUGGGACAGCAUGAUUUUUCAGCUGAAACCGGACGGGUGUAUUAAAAAAUCACAGAAUUACUGCACUGUAAUCGGCAAAAUCAGACAAAAAGGAACUCGUGAAGGAAGUUCUGCACCGACCACCGCUUAGAGCAGGUUAAAUAGGCAAACCUAACAACUUAGCCUGACCCAUUCACCAGAUUUUCGGAGGUGCAUAUGUUAACGUGUUAAACAUGACCAAAAUCAAAAUCAAACUGCCAAUCUCCGAGACCAAGUCGCUACGGAACCGCUGACCGAUAUCGAACGCGACAAGAACCUUGAGUGGCUGAUUGUGGUCGGCGUGUGCACGUAUCUGGAUUGUCUCCGUGUUGAAGGCCUGCAACAAAUCUGGAGCAACAUUUGAAAGGGGCGGUACGACAUUGUUCUUACGGCCUUUCGUCCCAUUUAAACGCGUGUAAUGAAAGGCC